UGGGCCAAGGCAGAAAUUUCCCCUGUUCCUCUAUUCCCUAAAUGCCUCUGCAGCAUCAGCUUGAAAUGGUCAAGGCACCAAACCAGGCACAGCUGGGAGAAACAGGACAUGUCUCUGAAUGCUGCCUCCGGGUGACCCACGAGAAUGUUCUACGUGGAGAAUGAUUGCUGAGAACUUCGAGUUUCUAUUAGAAUGAAGUCUCCUCUCUCUUCUCCAGCUGAACCUUUAUUCCAAGGGCUUCUCCUUCAGCUCGGCACAGCCCACCACUAGCAGGACAGAGUCCCCUUUGCUGGGUUGAGUUUCCAGGUCAAAUGUGCUUCUCCAAAGUAAUCACCAUGUGGUGUUCGGUAGUCUUAUCCUGAGUCUGUCCUCUGUGGAUUUCUCUGCUUUGAAACUGGUAGAAGGCUGGAUCAGUAACCACGACUAAAUACAAACAUCAACAAUAACUUUUCCAAGAAGCCACGUUACGAUCACUUAGCCCCGACAUGCUUGUAUGCUCCCUCUUAUUGACACGGCUUGUUUUUGGACCCGUGCUAGGAUAAUUAUUCUGCAAACAAAACAAAAGUCUGCAAACUCUGCUGCUUGUCUAAGUGUGAGCAUAGCCAUGACAGAAGAGCUGAAGUCAAAUCUGUUGGCCACGUGUGCAAUGUGGAGGUACUUGUGGAGACUCGGGGCUAGAAAGAAGAGCACCCUGACCGUGAAAACCAACUGUGUCUCAGCAACCGUUGAAGGGACAGACCUGCCACAGGAUACUUCACUUCCCUGAAAGAAAAGGCUCCCAUUCCAGAGCAGGGAGAGCAACCUUGGUCCAUUCUCAGGAUGAGUGCUGGAAGGUUCUGUGUGAAUGCGCUCCCAGGGAGUCCUGUGGGAAAGUCCCCUUAUCUUGCUUCUUGAGAGAAAGUUUGGAAGCUCACCCAAAAAACCGGUAUUCUUACAAAACAAGAAGGAAACACAACACACGUUUGAACCCCUUGUGUUGGAUCUUGACAGAUGUGUGUAUGCAUUAGAUUUUCCCACAACAAAUAAAUAAUGAUUUGAGUAAAACCAGAAA
Long non-coding RNA from Suricata suricatta (meerkat), 1051 nucleotides. RefSeq lists it as uncharacterized. The record is from RefSeq and is a predicted model, not a curated record. The transcript has 5 exons. NCBI's taxonomy places the organism in Eukaryota, Metazoa, Chordata, Mammalia, Carnivora, Herpestidae.